Molecule: ribosomal RNA, 493 nt
Filed under: uncultured bacterium
Lineage: Bacteria
Description: partial 16S ribosomal RNA
Rfam family: Bacterial small subunit ribosomal RNA
Source: RNAcentral
AUUGAACGCUGGCGGCAUGCUUUACACAUGCAAGUCGAACGGUAACAGGUUAAGCUGACGAGUGGCGAACGGGUGAGUAAUGCAUCGGAACGUGCCCGAUCGUGGGGGAUAACGCAGCGAAAGCUGCGCUAAUACCGCUUACGAUCUGAGGAUGAAAGCGGGGGACCGUAAGGCCUCGCGCGAUCGGAGCGGCCGAUGUCAGAUUAGGUAGUUGGUGGGGUAAAGGCCCACCAAGCCGACGAUCUGUAGCUGGUCUGAGAGGACGACCAGCCACACUGGGACUGAGACACGGCCCUGACUCCUACGGGAGGCAGCAGUGGGGAAUUUUGGACAAUGGGCGAAAGCCUGAUCCAGCAAUGCCGCGUGCAGGAAGAAGGCCUUCGGGUUGUAAACUGCUUUUGUACGGAGCGAAAAGGUCCUUUCUAAUACAAGGGGCUCAUGACGGUACCGUAAGAAUAAGCACCGGCUAACUACGUGCCAGCAGCCGCCGUAA